GCAAGUCGAGCGCUCUCCUUCGGGAGGGAGCGGCGGACGGGUUAGUAACGCGUGGGAACAUACCCUUUUCUAUGGAAUAGCCUUUGGAAACGAAGAGUAAUACCAUAUAAGCCCUUCGGGGGAAAGAUUUAUCGGGAAAGGAUUAGCCCGCGUUAGAUUAGAUAGUUGGUGGGGUAAUGGCCUACCAAGUCUACGAUCUAUAGCUGGUUUGAGAGGAUGAUC
Molecule: ribosomal RNA, 222 nt
Filed under: uncultured bacterium
Lineage: Bacteria
Description: partial 16S ribosomal RNA
Rfam family: Bacterial small subunit ribosomal RNA
Source: RNAcentral